GUGGUUUAGCAAUAGAAUGUUCAUAGAAUUAAGCAAAAACCCUAAAUGACGAAUCAUUUUAGGGAAAUUGAGCUGUAUAACGCAAAAAAAAAAAAAUAAUUUACUGACUAACCAAUUGCCCUAUUUUUUCACUGUUUCUUGUGCUUUUAAUAUAAUAUUGUCAUAUUACUCUUUAUUGCAACCGGUAAAACCUGCAAGUCAGUUUUUUUUAAUAAUGUUAAGUUCCAAAAAUUUUCCGUGUCCAUUAAAGAAUCACAUACCCUCACAUAGUUUAUUCUCCCUUUCGAAGUGCGUUGCAAAGGGGACAUCAUCUCCGCUUCUGAAAUCUAUUGCGAGACGACGGUGUUACAAUUGAAGUGGCGAGAAAGAGCAAUCUGAGCAUCUUUUCCUUCUCAGAUUUGUGGGAUCGUUGAUGAAAUUGUAUUGUCUAUGUUGAUAUUUUGGCGAUAUGGAAUGGAACACUACGUACAUAUGUAUGUGGUCAAUAAACGUGUAACGUGGAUGUCUUUUUUCUUUCAUAUGGCAUAGUUUUAAGUCACUCCUCACCAUAUAUUAUUUGUGAUACGUCAUGUUUACCGGGUAACUGUAAGUAGAAAAGGU
This 600-nucleotide long non-coding RNA is filed under the name Brassica napus (rape). Its description in RNAcentral is "long non-coding RNA (BNAP_LNC025553)". The record is from RNAcentral. Lineage: Eukaryota; Viridiplantae; Streptophyta; Magnoliopsida; Brassicales; Brassicaceae.